RNAcentral lists this long non-coding RNA (534 nucleotides) under Brassica rapa (field mustard). Its description in RNAcentral is "long non-coding RNA (BRAP_LNC000586)". The record is from RNAcentral. Lineage: Eukaryota; Viridiplantae; Streptophyta; Magnoliopsida; Brassicales; Brassicaceae.
AGAAAAAUUAAAAGGGAAAGUUUCGGUAGUGGUGUAAAUAAUAAAUAUUUAUAUAUAGGGUUAUAGACUCGUAGAUAUCUGAUUUAGUUGUUACGAUAAAACUAAAAAGGUAAAAAAGCACGGUAUCUUUAAUUUGCUAGGCGAAACUUGCCAUACUUACCUUCAUCUCCAUAGAAGCAACUUUUUUUGUUCAUGUAUAAAAAAACCAGAUUUUUUUUUUCGUUUCUUAAGUAAAAUCUUUUUUUUUUUUUUUUGGAUAGGGCCCCUGAGAGCUCAGGUCCGGCUCUGUCUGAAAGGUUACGAAAAGAAAGAUAACCGAUAACGUACGAUCUCAUGCUUUCUUUAGAGCUCAAAGAUAGUGAUUAGAGUUAGGUUUUUAUCUUACAUUAGAGAGGAAGUCUUUUAUAACUAGUUAUGACAAUGAAAACAUUAAAACUAUCUCUUCAACACAUAGGUUAAUUAUAUAAGUAAUAUAAGUUUUUUAUGUGUGAGUAAAUAUUAAAGAAAGUAAUUGAAAGCGGCAGCAAAUCAAAG